This 492-nucleotide ribosomal RNA is filed under the name uncultured bacterium. Its description in RNAcentral is "partial 16S ribosomal RNA". It matches the Rfam family "Bacterial small subunit ribosomal RNA", at positions 29 to 507 of the family's 1533-position model. The record is from RNAcentral.
AGUGAACGCUGGCGGUAGGCUUAACACAUGCAGGUCGAACGGCAGCACAGUAAUAGCUUGCUCUUACGGGUGGCGAGUGGCGGACGGGUGAGGAAUACACCGGAAUUUACUUUUUCGUGGGGGAUAACAUAGGGAAACUAACGCUAAUACCGCAUACGACAUACGGGUGGAAGCAGGGGAUCUUCGGACCUUGCGCGUUUGAAUGAGCCGAUGUCGGAUUAGCUAGUUGGCGGGGUAAAGGCCCACUAAGGCGACGAUCCGUAGCUGGUCUGAGAGGAUGAUCAGCCACACUGGAACUGAGACACGGUCCAGACUCCUACGGGAGGCAGCAGUGGGGAAUAUUGGACAAUGGGCGCAAUCCUGAUCCAGCCAUACCGCGUGGGUGAAGAAGGCCUUCGGGUUGUAAAGCCCUUUUGUUGGGAAAGAAAAGCAGCAGGUUAAUACCCCGCUGUUCUGACGGUACCCAAAGAAUAAGCACCGGCUAACUUCGUG